Molecule: small nuclear RNA, 105 nt
Organism: Pongo abelii (Sumatran orangutan)
Lineage: Eukaryota; Metazoa; Chordata; Mammalia; Primates; Hominidae
Source: Ensembl
UUAUUCUUCGGCAGCACAUAUACUAAAAUUGGAACGAUACAGAGAAGAUUAGCAUGGCCCCUGCACAAGGAUGACAUGCAAAUUCAUGAAGCGUUCCAUAUUUAA